RNAcentral lists this ribosomal RNA (511 nucleotides) under Tenodera sinensis (Chinese praying mantis). Its description in RNAcentral is "partial large subunit ribosomal RNA". It matches the Rfam family "Bacterial large subunit ribosomal RNA", at positions 1888 to 2597 of the family's 2925-position model. The record is from RNAcentral. Lineage: Eukaryota; Metazoa; Arthropoda; Insecta; Mantodea; Mantidae.
GGUUUCUUGUAACUAUUUAGGAGAUCUGACCUGCCCACUGAAAAUAUUUUGAAGGGCCGCAGUAUUUUGACUGUGCAAAGGUAGCAUAAUCAUUAGUCUUUUAAUUGAAGGCUGGUAUGAAUGGUUGGAUGAGGUAAAUUCUGUUUUAUGUUAAUUGAUGUUGAAUUUAGAUUUUAAGUAAAAAUACUUAAAUGUUAUUAAGGGACGAGAAGACCCUAUAGAGUUUAAUAAAUGUAAUAAUUAAUUGAGUUAAAGUUUAAUUUUUGGUUUUUAUGUAAUUUAUUUAAUUGGGGUGAUUGGAAGAUAAAAUAAACUCUUCUUUAUAUUUAAUAAAUUAAUUAGUUAUAUGAUCCAUAUUUAAUGAUUAAAAGAUUAAAUUACCUUAGGGAUAACAGCAUAAUUCUUUUUAAGAGUUCAUAUCGAAAAAAGAGAUUGUGACCUCGAUGUUGGAUUAAGAUUAGUUAUGGGUGCAGAUGUUCAAUAACUAGGUCUGUUCGACCUUGAAAAUCUU